GAUGAACGCUAGCGGCAGGCUUAACACAUGCAAGUCGAGGGGUAUCACGCUUUCGGGCGUGAGAGACCGGCGCACGGGUGCGUAACGCGUAUGCAAUCUACCUUUUGCAGAGGGAUAGCCCAGAGAAAUUUGGAUUAAUACCUCAUAGUAUAGAACAAUCGCAUGAUUGAACUAUUAAAGUCACAACGGCAAAAGAUGAGCAUGCGUCCCAUUAGUUAGUUGGUAAGGUAACGGCUUACCAAGACUACGAUGGGUAGGGGUCCUGAGAGGGAGAUCCCCCACACUGGUACUGUGACACGGACCAGACUCCUACGGGAGGCAGCAGUGAGGAAUAUUGGACAAUGGGCGCAAGCCUGAACCAGCCAUGCCGCGUGAAGGAUGACGGCCCUAUGGGUUGUAAACUCUUUUGUACGGGAAAAAACCACCGGUCCGUGUAUCGGUGCUG
Molecule: ribosomal RNA, 445 nt
Filed under: uncultured bacterium
Lineage: Bacteria
Description: bacterial SSU rRNA
Rfam family: Bacterial small subunit ribosomal RNA
Source: RNAcentral